ACCAACUGCUACAGUGGUUAAGUCCUUCUCUUGCAGCAAAGAGCUACUCUGCAGACCUUCAAUUCCCUGUGAUGUCCAAUCCAAACACGCCACAGGAGAAUCAGCUGAAAUUCAAGCCACAAGGAAGCAAGGCCAGGCCAAAUGAUUGCAGCAAGCCAGUGGUCCAGCUCAGGGCUGUGGCACAAGAGAGAGGCAUUUCCUCUGUCUCCCAUUGACUCGGAUAGGCUGGAAGUAGCUCUUCUGAGAAAAUAAGUAUUUGUUACUGCAGGACGUAACAGUUUCCUACCAGAUGAACUCACCUGGAAGACUGAAGGGUUUGAGUACAAAACUAUUAAAAGCUCUGCAACACAGAGCAAGAAAAAGGAGCCAUCUCAAUGAGUGCCCUGAGGCCAACAACUGCUGCCUUGGUCAAAGAAACUCACACUACCAUAGUAAGAGCUUUCCUCUUGAAUCAAAAUACACCUUGUAAAAGCACCUUACACGUGUGGACAAACCUAUUAAAUAAUUAGUAAAUAAGAAAUAGAGUCUUUAAAAUGGAUGUCCCAAAAACGUAGCAAAAUACUGAGA
Molecule: long non-coding RNA, 567 nt
Organism: Corapipo altera (White-ruffed manakin)
Lineage: Eukaryota; Metazoa; Chordata; Aves; Passeriformes; Pipridae
Exons: 3
Source: RefSeq, a predicted model, not a curated record